Molecule: ribosomal RNA, 468 nt
Filed under: uncultured bacterium
Lineage: Bacteria
Description: bacterial SSU rRNA
Rfam family: Bacterial small subunit ribosomal RNA
Source: RNAcentral
UGCCUUANACAUGCAAGUCGAACGGCAGNACGGGAGCAAUCCUGGUGGCGAGUGGCGAACGGGUGAGUAAUAUAUCGGAACGUGCCCAGUCGUGGGGGAUAACGUAGCGAAAGCUACGCUAAUACCGCAUACGAUCUAUGGAUGAAANCGGGGGAUCGCAAGACCUCGCGCGAUUGGAGCGGCCGAUAUCAGAUUAGGUAGUUGGUGAGGUAAAGGCUCACCAAGCCGACGAUCUGUAGCUGGUCUGAGAGGACGACCAGCCACACUGGGACUGAGACACGGCCCCAGACUCCUACGGGAGGCAGCAGUGGGGAAUUUUGGACAAUGGGCGCAAGCCUGAUCCAGCAAUGCCGCGUGCAGGAUGAAGGCCUUCGGGUUGUAAACUGCUUUUGUACGGAACGAAACGGUGAGCUCUAAUACAGUUUGCUAAUGACGGUACCGUAAGAAUAAGCACCGGCUAACUACGUG